RNAcentral lists this ribosomal RNA (253 nucleotides) under uncultured bacterium. RNAcentral describes it as "partial 16S ribosomal RNA". It matches the Rfam family "Bacterial small subunit ribosomal RNA", at positions 524 to 776 of the family's 1533-position model. The record is from RNAcentral.
UACGGGGGGGGCAAGCGUUGUUCGGAAUUACUGGGCGUAAAGGGCUCGUAGGUGGCCAACUAAGUCAGACGUGAAAUCCCUCGGCUUAACCGGGGAACUGCGUCUGAUACUGGAUGGCUCGAAUCCGGGAGAGGGAUGCGGAAUUCCAGGUGUAGCGGUGAAAUGCGUAGAUAUCUGGAGGAACACCGGUGGCGAAGGCGGCAUCCUGGACCGGCAUUGACGCUGAGGAGCGAAAGCCAGGGGAGCAAACAGG